AAGGCAAGAGGGAGGAAGAGGGCUGGUAAAGAGCAAAAAGCAUUGAAACACAACCCCUUCUACAUUUCUUUCACUCCAUCACCAAAUUGAUUUGUCCCAUUUGCAGACAUUGAUCUGUGGCCAUAGUAAGUGUAAUAGUUAAGUCCGAGACUCCAUUAACAUCAGUGUUGGGAAGACAUCCAAUCUGAUCAAGGGCCAGAGAGGAGGCAGCAGACGUGUGUCAGAUUAUUUGAAACGGGCUCAAAGGAACCCCAAGCAGUGAACAUGAAAACCCUUGUGUGGUGUAUCUUACUGUCAUCAUGGAUAACAAAGAGAUCCACAGAGAGUGAGAGCCCUAAAGAGGCCUGUUGACCUACAGGCUAUCAGGAAUGUCUGCUGAAUCAGUGAUUCUUCACUUGAAAACUAAAGAGUGAGUAAACAGCUGGUGAAUUCAGUAUGAAGAAGGUCAACUUCACCAUCAGUGAGCAAGCUGUAAAGACUUCAAGAAGUCCUUUACACCAUACAAUGUCCUGAAGCCUGAUGUGAUUCAAUAAUUUCCAAUGGAAUGCUGGAAAUUUCUGAAAAGAGGAUCUCACCCCAUCUAAACUUCUCUUACCAUGGCUCUCAGGCUCCAAGUUAUUCACAAUAGAAGAAAUUUCUCAGACCUUCCCAUAGAAAGCUGCUGCUGUUCCAAACUCUGGUCCUUCUAAAAUUGGGGAUGAGGAACAAAGUCUUCAAAGAAGAAAUCACACCUUCAUUCAGUGGCCUCAGCUACACCUUCGGAGCAGCUUCUUGGUUGACUUUUAUCUUUACAAAACCAUUUUCAAUGAUCCACCCUCUGAUUAGUCUGUCUCUACUGACUCAUGGUUUUGUCACUGGCUGGCUACAAGGCUACAGUUUUGAAAAACAUGUAAAUACGGUUACCAGCUCAAGCACAUAAAAAUGUAGGAUGCCCAGUUAAAUUUGACAAAUAUUUUUUUUAGCCUAAGUACAUCCCCGGAUAUAUUUAGGACAUAUUUAUACUUAGAAAAAUUAUUUAUAUCAAAUAACUGUCUUUUAUCCAGUAACCCAACAUGUGAAGAUUUUGGAAACUAGAUUAAUGAUUUCAGGAGCAUAGAUAUCAAGUUUUGACUCACACAAAAAUCAGAGAAACUGCUCCCAAGGAACAGUCCUAUGGCGAGGCGAACAUGCAUGAGAACAAAAUUUAGCAGUGCUGUAUGCACCACAAUAACCUGUAACAACCUAGCCCUUUCAGGGCUGACUCAUACACCUAGAGAAAUGCAUCUGAACACUCAGUCACUCAGUAAAGACAGAUGGUCUCAUUAGACAUUUGACAAAGAGAAAAAAAAAUGUGCUAAAUUUCAAUUACUAUUUGCUCACUCCCCAAACUCCUUGCCAAAUUUUUAUGAAAUGUAUCCAAAGCCUUCCAUAGGAGGUGUAAUAUUUGCUCGGGCUGCUAUAACAAAGUGCCACAAACUGGGUGGCUUAAACCAUAGAAGCCUUCUCUCCCAGUUCUGAAGGCCAGGAGUCGGAAGCCAAAGUGUCGGCAGGAUCGGUUCCUGCUGUGAAGGCGAGUCUGCUCCAGGCCUCCUCCAACUUGAGAUGGUUUCCUGGCAAUCUUUAGAGUGUCUUGGCUUAUAGAUGCAUCAUCCCAAUCUCCGCCUUCAUGUUCAUAUGUUGUUCUCUGUGUGUGAUGUCUGUGUCCAAAUUUCCCCUCUUUAUAAGGAUAGAAGUCAUAUUGGACUGGCGGCUCACCCUACUCCAGUGUCACCUCAUCUGAACCAAUCACAUCCGCAAUGACCCUAUUUCCAGAUGCCACAUUCUAAGGUACUAGGGGGUAAGCACUUCAACAUAUGAAUUUGGAGGGGACAUGUUCAACAUGUAAUGGGGGUGAAUCUGUACAGGUGUUAGAAAGACUGGAGAGGGAAUCCAAAACCCAACAACACAGGUCUGUAUGUGAAAACUGACAGGCAGGGUGUUUGACGGGGGAAGCUCCCAGGGCCUGGGUCCUGCCUCAAGGAUCUGUCCAUUCCACACCGGUGGGAAGGGCUGGCGAGUGGACAGGUAAAAGUUGGUCUGCAUGGCAAGCAUGCUGUUCUCACACAGCCUGGAAGCCGGCAGCGGCAGACUAGAAAGACUUACUCUAGGUCCAGUUCAGGCCCUGCCCUGGCUCUGCAGAAUCAUUCCUGGCUGUCCCCCACUUUCAGAACCCUCCCUCAUUAUAUGUAUUGCAUUUACUACCUAUAUCAUUCCUUUAGCAAAGCUCUCAUAUGUAUUUUCUAUGCAAGUUCUGUCUCUACAACUAUAUCAGGGAAGCUUUCGAUUUUCCCAAAGAAUAUUUUUGUGUGUAUUUUAUAUUAUAUGCACACACAUACAUAAAUAUGAACACAUCCAGCAAUGAUAAAGUAACUGAGAGUGGAAUGUUACAAAUCAGACUCUGAGAUCCCUUCUUUAAAAGGUUUCUUCUUUCAGAUAAUUCUUCCAGGCUUUAUGGGCUUUUCAAAGAAUACACAACUUAACUGAGUUCUUGGAGCGGUUAUCAAGUUAUAUUAAUUACUUUUCCCUGACAGAUACAGAUUGAUACGCAUACCAUCCUAGGAACAUGGUCUCCUGUCAUUUCAUUAUUACUGAGGCAAAUUUGUGGAGAGUACAUUUUCUGGAAAAAUGAGAAAUAAUGACUCUGUGACAUGAAUUAUAAACUCAAAAUAAAAUGUACCCAUAUAAAAAUGUUAAAAAUUUUAAAAUAUUUGAAAACUAUCAAAUCCAUUGCAAAAUUUGAUUUUUCAAGUUUUAAAAGGCAGAAUCACCUGGCUUUGUUAACUUAGCCCCUCGUUCAACUGGGGAUUGAUAUAAGAAAGGCCUAUUGCCUGAAGACAUUCUUGAGUAGCUGUUGACCCAAGGCCAUGUACAUUAUUUUACAGUCAAUAAAUCUCACCAACUGAA
Felis catus (domestic cat) is the source of this 2922-nucleotide long non-coding RNA. RefSeq lists it as uncharacterized. The record is from RefSeq and is a predicted model, not a curated record. Lineage: Eukaryota; Metazoa; Chordata; Mammalia; Carnivora; Felidae. The transcript is spliced from 4 exons.